GUACCCGGUCCGGGUCGGCUGGGCUGCCCGCCGCUCCGCGCGCCCGGGCGGUCGCAGGUCGCGCCUGCUUUGGCCCCGGCGGGUUCGGCAUCCGAGCCUGGCAGGGGCCAAUAGACAGGGCCUCUGGAGUGCAGUGGCGUGAUCUCGGCUCACUACAGCGUCUGCCUACCGUGUUCAAGCGAUCCUCCCACCUCAGCCUGUUGAGCAACCGGGACCCCAGGUGCACACUCCACCACGCCCAGCUAAUUUUUUUGUGUUUUGGGUAGAGAGGGGGUCUCACUGUGUUGUCCAAGCUGGUCUCGAACUCCUGAUCUAAAGCGAUCUGCCUGCCUUGGCCUCCCAAAGUGCGAGGACUACAGGCGUGAGCCACCGCGCCUGGCCUGAAGCAGUUUUUCCUUAGACUGUAGUUGGAGGGGGUGAGACCACGUGGAGUGGUUGGCAGACAGGCAGGCACCCUUUGAGGCCAAAAGGGCGCUUGAGACAGAGCCAGCAGGCGAGCGGGCCGCCCAGGUCCCUGGCCCCCUGCUGCCAGUAUGAAGGUCCCACCAAGCCUCUGCUCCAACCAGGGGAACCGUCAUGGUUGGGAACAGCCAAGGUGAGGAAUUCUGUGGGUCACACCCCCUGAAAACCACUGGCCUCCGCCGGGCGCGGUGGCUCACGCUUGUUAUCCCAACACUUUGGGAGGCCCAGGCGGGUGGAUCACGAGGUCAGGAGUUC
Molecule: long non-coding RNA, 717 nt
Filed under: Homo sapiens (human)
Lineage: Eukaryota; Metazoa; Chordata; Mammalia; Primates; Hominidae
Description: GATD1 divergent transcript
Source: RNAcentral